Molecule: ribosomal RNA, 327 nt
Filed under: uncultured bacterium
Lineage: Bacteria
Description: bacterial SSU rRNA
Rfam family: Bacterial small subunit ribosomal RNA
Source: RNAcentral
AGGGUUUGAUUCUGGCUCAGGACGAACGCUGGCGGCGUGCCUAACACAUGCAAGUCGAACGGAAGCAAAGAUUUCGGUUUUUGCUUUAGUGGCGAACGGGUGAGUAACGCGUGAGGAACCUGCCUUUCAGUGGGGGACAACAGUUGGAAACGACUGCUAAUACCGCAUAAUACUUUCGAGCGGCAUCGUUUGAAAGUCAAAGAUUUAUUGCUGAAAGAUGGCCUCGCGUCUGAUUAGCUAGUUGGUGGGGUAACGGCCCACCAAGGCGACGAUCAGUAGCCGGUCUGAGAGGAUGAACGGCCACAUUGGGACUGAGAUACGGCCCAG